This 28-nucleotide non-coding RNA is filed under the name Drosophila erecta. The record is from RNAcentral. RNAcentral also lists the same sequence under 8 other names. Lineage: Eukaryota; Metazoa; Arthropoda; Insecta; Diptera; Drosophilidae.
GCGCCGCUGGUGUAGUGGUAUCAUGCAA